AAAAUCUCGUGGAGGACCGAACCACGUUGGUGUUGAAAAACCAUGGGAUGAGCUGUGGAUAGCGGAGAAAUUCCAAUCGAACUCGGAGAUAGCUGGUUCUCCUCGAAAUAGCUUUAGGGCUAGCGUCGUGUAAUUGAGUAAUGGAGGUAGAGCACUGAAUGGGCUAGGGGCUAUAGUAGUUACCGAACCCUAUCAAACUCCGAAUGCCAUAUACUUGUAUCACGGCAGUCAGACUGCGAAUGAUAAGAUCCGUAGUCAAAAGGGAAACAGCCCAGACCAUCAGCUAAGGUCCCAAAGUGUAAGUUAAGUGGAAAAGGAUGUGGGAUUUCUAAGACAACUAGGAUGUUGGCUUAGAAGCAGCCACUCAUUUAAAGAGUGCGUAAUAGCUCACUAGUCAAGAGAUCCUGCGCCGAAGAUGUCCGGGGCUCAAACUUACCACCGAAGCUAUGGGUGUACACUAUGUGUACGCGGUAGAGGAGCUUUCUGUAUGGGUUGAAGUCGUACCGUAAGGAGCGGUGGACUGUACAGAAGUGAGAAUGCUGGCAUAAGUAGCGAGAAAUAAGUGAGAAUCUUAUUGGCCGAAAACCUAAGGUUUCCUGAGGAAGGUUCGUCCGCUCAGGGUUAGUCGGGACCUAAGCCGAGGCCGAAAGGCGUAGGUGAUGGACAAUCGGUUGAUAUUCCGAUACCACCUAUUUACGUUUGAGAAAUGGGGUGACGCAGUAGGAUAAGAUGUGCGCACUAUUGGAUGUGCGUCUAAGCACUUAGGCAUGCUUGAUAGGCAAAUCCGUCGAGCUAAGCUGAGGUGUGAUGGGGAGCCAUUUAUGGCGAAGUAUCUGAUUCCACACUGCCAAGAAAAGCCUCUAUCGAGUGAAUAGGUGCCCGUACCGCAAACCGACACAGGUAGGUGAGGAGAGAAUCCUAAGGCCAUCGGAAGAAUUGCUGUUAAGGAACUCGGCAAAUUGACCCCGUAACUUCGGGAGAAGGGGUGCCUACGAAAGUAGGCCGCAGAGAAUAGGCCCAAGCAACUGUUUAGCAAAAACACAGGUCUCUGCUAAAGCGAAAGCUGAUGUAUAGGGGCUGACGCCUGCCCGGUGCUGGAAGGUUAAGGGGAACACUUAGCGUAAGCGAAGGUGUGAACUUAAGCCCCAGUAAACGGCGGCCGUAACUAUAACGGUCCUAAGGUAGCGAAAUUCCUUGUCGGGUAAGUUCCGACCCGCACGAAUGGCGUAAUGAUUUGGGCACUGUCUCAACAGCAAAUCCGGCGAAAUUGUAGUGCAAGUGAAGAUGCUUGCUACCCGCGAUUGGACGGAAAGACCCCGUAGAGCUUUACUGUAGCUUAGCAUUGAAUCUCGGUAUUGUCUGUACAGGAUAGGUGGGAGACUUGGAA
This 1387-nucleotide ribosomal RNA is filed under the name Clostridium botulinum. Its description in RNAcentral is "partial 23S ribosomal RNA". It matches the Rfam family "Bacterial large subunit ribosomal RNA", at positions 758 to 2161 of the family's 2925-position model. Lineage: Bacteria; Bacillati; Bacillota; Clostridia; Eubacteriales; Clostridiaceae. The record is from RNAcentral.